Molecule: non-coding RNA, 1037 nt
Organism: Erythranthe guttata (spotted monkey flower)
Lineage: Eukaryota; Viridiplantae; Streptophyta; Magnoliopsida; Lamiales; Phrymaceae
Source: RefSeq, a predicted model, not a curated record
UUUUUUUAAUUCUGCGCGGUCAUAGGAUUUCGUAUUAGAAUCAGACAUUCGUAACUCAGUGUCAUUUUCAGGGCUAUCGAUUUUACAAUUUCCUUCUCUUCAGAGUCCGAUGAAUCGGCAUAUGUUAAAGCUAAUAGGCCAAGUGACGAGGGCGCUUUUUGUGCCUUUUCGGAAACCACACCUACACUGUUUUCUUUUUCCACCAGCGUCAAAAACACGUCCACUGUGUCUUUCUAAGCAUCAAAGCUGCAAAAUCGAGACUUCCAAUCUUGGAUUUGAGUCUUAGCUACUGAUUGGAUCACGACAUAAUGGGGAAGUUGAUGUAUUCUCUAUUCUCUUUUUUUCUUUCUCUUCAUCUCUCUCUCUACCUGUCUCUCUCUCUGUGGUUGCCCAGAGCCCUCCGCCAUCGCGGCUGCUCCCCACCUUGCGCCGCCGCUCCCCUCACCUCCUUGUGCUGCCGCCGUCGCUGCUCCGCCGCCGCCUUGUGCCGCUGCUCCGCCGCCGCCUUGCGCCGCUGCUCCGCCACGUCCUUGUGCCGACCGUCGUUGCUCCUCCCACCGCCUUGAAUACCGUAUUAAACCAUCCACUUCACCUUUUUAAGUUACUUUUUUAAUUUAUGAAUGUCCAUGUAUUUUUAAUUUAUUUUUUUAAACUCUGAAUUAUUACUAUUUCACCUUUUUUAAUUGUUUUUUUUUUUUGAUGAAAACUAACUGAAUUCGAAAUUUUUAAAUCGUGAUUCGACAAUUUGUAGUCAGAUCUAAUGGUGAAUUUCAGAUCUGGAACCGGUGGUGUUUGAUUUAUAUAUAUUUACUGCAUUUAUAAAUAAAAAACCAGAUCUACUAUGUUUUCGAAUUCAUUUGGUUUUCAUCAAAAAAAAAAAAACAAUUAAAAAAGGUGAAAUAGUAAGAAUUCAGAGCUUAAAAAAAUAAAUUAAAAAUGGAUGGACAUUCGUAAAUUAAAAAAAAAUAACUUAAAAAGGUGAAGUGGAUGGUUUAAUACGGAGUUCAAGGCGGUGGAAUUGAGCAACGACGGCCGGC